RNAcentral lists this ribosomal RNA (253 nucleotides) under uncultured bacterium. Its description in RNAcentral is "partial 16S ribosomal RNA". It matches the Rfam family "Bacterial small subunit ribosomal RNA", at positions 524 to 776 of the family's 1533-position model. The record is from RNAcentral.
GACAGGGGGGGCACGCGUUCUCCGGAAUUAUUGGGCGUAAAGCGUCCGUAGGUGGUUUGACAAGUCUGGGGUUAAAGCCCGGAGCCCAACUCCGGAUCGGCCCUGGAAACUGUCAGACUUGAGUAAGGUAGGGGUUGCGGGAAUUCCCGGUGUAGCGGUGAAAUGCGUAGAUAUCGGGAAGAACACCAGCGGCGAAAGCGCGCAACUGGGCCAUUACUGACACUGAGGCACGAAAGCUAGGGGAGCGAAUGGG